RNAcentral lists this ribosomal RNA (556 nucleotides) under uncultured Glomus. Its description in RNAcentral is "SSU rRNA". It matches the Rfam family "Eukaryotic small subunit ribosomal RNA", at positions 548 to 1103 of the family's 1831-position model. Lineage: Eukaryota; Fungi; Glomeromycota; Glomeromycetes; Glomerales; Glomeraceae. The record is from RNAcentral.
UUGGAGGGCAAGUCUGGUGCCAGCAGCCGCGGUAAUUCCAGCUCCAAUAGCGUAUAUUAAAGUUGUUGCAGUUAAUAAGCUCGUAGUUGAACUUCGGGGUUCACCCAUUGGUCAGGCUUAAUUGUCUGUACUGGUGAGAUGAGUCUCUACCUUCUGAGGAACUUUCAUGCCAUUUAUUUGGUGUGGUUGGAAAUCAGGACUGUUACUUUGAAAAAAUUAGAGUGUUUAAAGCAGGCUAACGUCUGAAUACAUUAGCAUGGAAUAAUGAAAUAGGACGGAUUGAUUCUAUUUCGUUGGUUUCUAGGGUCACCGUAAUGAUUAAUAGGGAUAGUUGGGGGCAUUAGUAUUCAAUUGUCAGAGGUGAAAUUCUUGGAUUUAUUGAAGACUAACUACUGCGAAAGCAUUUGCCAAGGAUGUUUUCAUUAAUCAAGAACGAAAGUUAGGGGAUCGAAGACGAUCAGAUACCGUCGUAGUCUUAACCAUAAACUAUGCCGACUAGGGAUCGGACGCAGUUAAUUUUAUAAUGACGUGUUCGGCACCUUACGGGAAACCAAAG